RNAcentral lists this ribosomal RNA (497 nucleotides) under uncultured bacterium. RNAcentral's name for it is "partial 16S ribosomal RNA". It matches the Rfam family "Bacterial small subunit ribosomal RNA", at positions 28 to 507 of the family's 1533-position model. The record is from RNAcentral.
GAUGAACGCUGGCGGCGUGCCUAAUACAUGCAAGUCGAGCGAACGGACGAGAAGCUUGCUUCUCUGGUGUUAGCGGCGGACGGGUGAGUAACACGUGGAUAACCUACCUAUAAGACUGGGAUAACUUCGGGAAACCGGAGCUAAUACCGGAUAAUAUUUUGAACCGCAUGGUUCAAAAGUGAAAGACGGUCUUGCUGUCACUUAUAGAUGGAUCCGCGCUGCAUUAGCUAGUUGGUAAGAUAACGGCUUACCAAGGCAACGAUGCAUAGCCGACCUGAGAGGGUGAUCGGCCACACUGGAACUGAGACACGGUCCAGACUCCUACGGGAGGCAGCAGUAGGGAAUCUUCCGCAAUGGGCGAAAGCCUGACGGAGCAACGCCGCGUGAGUGAUGAAGGUCUUCGGAUCGUAAAACUCUGUUAUUAGGGAAGAACAUAUGUGUAAGUAACUGUGCACAUCUUGACGGUACCUAAUCAGAAAGCCACGGCUAACUACGUG